RNAcentral lists this ribosomal RNA (253 nucleotides) under uncultured bacterium. RNAcentral describes it as "partial 16S ribosomal RNA". It matches the Rfam family "Bacterial small subunit ribosomal RNA", at positions 524 to 776 of the family's 1533-position model. The record is from RNAcentral.
UACGUAGGGGGCAAGCGUUGUCCGGAAUCAUUGGGCGUAAAGCGCGUGUAGGCGGUCCGGUAAGUCGGUUGUGAAAGUCCAGGGCUCAACCCUGGGAUGCCGACCGAUACUGUCGGACUAGAGUUCGGAAGAGGCGAGUGGAAUUCCCGGUGUAGCGGUGAAAUGCGCAGAUAUCGGGAGGAACACCAAUGGCGAAGGCAGCUCGCUGGGACGUUACUGACGCUGAGACGCGAAAGCGUGGGGAGCAAACGGG